CACGUCUAUGUACAAACAAAAAUUGUUGAAAUGACAAAAGAUAACCAAACAUCAAACCAGAAGUGUCAUCCAGUUAAGAACCACCCCACGAUCAGACAUCUGGAAAUUGAAGAGUAUAUCUAUAAGCACGGGAAACUCUAGGUAGAAGAGAAAAUGUAUAGAAAUAAAAAUACUAUUAUGUACUCCCUUUGCCACCCUCGAUUAACACAAUAUCAAUGACUCAUCAAAGAUCUGUCCGCGUCCAAAAACCAGACCAAGAUAGCCCCCACAUUAAGCUCCUACAGUGAUGGAAUCAAAACCUAUUUUGUAUCUCCUGUCACAGGGUAGGCCCAAAACAAUAUCCAAGUCUAUAUAACAACAAAAGAAUAUAAUAGAGAGAUCAAAUGCAACCAAUUAUGAACCCAGAACUGCCUUCCAGUUAAGCUUGAUUAAGAACCAAACAACGAUCAGGCAUCUGGAAAUCGAAGAGAAUAACAAUAAGCACGGGAAAGUCAAGAUGGAAGAUAAAUUGUAGCAGAAUUAAUACAAUACUAUACUCCCUCUGACACCCUCGAUAAACAUUAUAUCAGUGACAGCAUCAAAAGUUGAUGUCUCCAGUAACUAGACCAAGAUUAGCCCCACCAUAAGCUGCUUCUUUCACAACUUAAUUUUUAACUCCUGUCACAAGGUGAGGCAGAAAACAAUAUCCACGUCUACGUAACAAAUAAAAGAUUGUUGAAACUGACAAAAGAUAACCAAGCAUACCAGAAGUGCCUUCCAGUUAAGAACCACACAACAAUCAGACAUCUGGAAAUUGAAGAGUAUAACUAUUAGCACGGGAAACUCUAGGUAGAAGAGAAAAUGUAGGUAGAAAAAAAAUACUAUUAGUACUCCCUUUACCACCCACUAUUAACACUAUAUCAAUGACAGCAUGAAGGAUUUGUCAGUGUCCAAAAACCAGACCAAGACAGCCCCCACCUUAAGCUCCUACUUGAUAGAAUCAGAACCUAUUUUGUAUCUCCUAUCACAGGGUGAGGCUGAAACCAACAUCCGAGUCUAAAUAACAACAAAAGAACUACAAUAGAGAGAGCAAAGGUAACCAACUAUCAAACCCGAACUGCCGUCCAGUUAAGCUUGAUUAAGAACCACACAACGAUCGGGCAUCUGGAAAUGAAGAGAAUAACGAUAAGCACCGGAAGGUCUAGAUGGAAGAUAAAUUGUAUAGAAGAAAUACUAUACUAUACUCCCUCUGCCACCCUCGAUAAACACACUAUAUAGUGACCACGUCAAAGGAUUGACUUGUGUGCAAUAACUUGACUAAGAUUAGCCCUACCUUAAGCUCCUACUUGAUAAAAUUAAAACUUAAUUUUUAUCUCAUGUCAUAGGGUGGGGCAGAAAACAAUAUCCACGUCUAUGUAGCAAACAAAAUUGUUGAACUGACAAAAGAUAACCAAACAUCAAACAGAAGUGUCUCCAGUUAAGAACCACCCCACGAUCAGACAUCUGGAAAUUGAAGAGUAUAUCUAUAAGCACGGGAAACUCGAGGUAGAAGAGAAAAUGUAGUAGAAUAAAAAUACUAUUAUGUACUCCCUUUGCCACCCUCGAUUAACACAAUAUCAAUGACUACAUCAAAGAUCUGUCGCGUCCAAAAACCAGACCAAGAUAGCCCCCACAUUAAGCUCCUACAGUGAUGGAAUCAAAACCUAUUUUGUAUCUCCUGUCACAGGGUAGGCUCAAAACAAUAUCCAAGUCUAUAUAACAACAAAAGAAAUAUAAUAGAGAGAUCAAAUGCAACCAAUUAUGAACCCAGAACUGCCUUCCAGUUAAGCUUGAUUAAGAACCAAACAACGAUCAGGCAUCUGGAAAUCGAAGAGAAUAACAAUAAGCACGGGAAAGUCAAGAUGGAAGAUAAAUUGUAGCAGAAUUAAUACAAUACUAUACUCCCUCUGACACCCUCGAUAAACAUUAUAUCAGUGACAGCAUCAAAAGUUGAUAGUCUCCAUAACUAGACCAAGAUUAGCCCCACCAUAAGUGCUUCUUUCACAACUUAAUUUUUAACCCCUGUCACAAGGUGAGGCAGAAAACAAUAUCCACGUCUACGUAACAAAUAAAAGAUUGUUGAAACUGACAAAAGAUAACCAAGCAUACCAGAAGUGCCUUCCAGUUAAGAACCACACAACAUCAGACAUCUGGAAAUUGAAGAGUAUAUCUAUAGCACGGGAAAUUCUAGGUAGAAGAGAAAAUGUAGUAGAAAAAAAAUACUAUUAUGUACUCCCUUUCCACCCCGAUUAAACAUAUCAAUGACCAUAAGAUUGUCGGUCCAAAAACCAGACCAAGACAGCCCCCACCUUAAGCUCCUACUUUGAUAGAAUCAGAACCUAUUUUGUAUCUCCUAUCACAGGGUGAGGCUGAAACCAACAUCGAGUCUAAAUAACAACAAAAGAACUACAAUAGAGAAAGCAAAGGUAACCAACUAUCAAACCCGAACUGCCGUCCAGUUAAGCUUGAUUAAGAACCACACAACGAUCGGGCAUCUGGAAAUGGAAGAGAAUAACGAUAAGCACCGGAAGGUCUAGAUGGAAGAUAAAUUGUAUUAGAAGAAAUACUAUCUAUACUCCCUCUGCCACCCUCGAUAAACACACUAUAUCAGUGACCACGUCAAAGGAUUGACUUGUGUGCAAUAACUUGACUAAGAUUAGCCCUACUUAAGCUCCUACUUUGAUAAAAUUAAAACUUAAUUUUUAUCUCAUGUCAUAGGGUGGGGCAGAAAACAAUAUCCACGUCUAUGUACAAACAAAAUUGUUGAAAUGACAAAAGAUAACCAAACAUCAAACCAGAAG
Molecule: long non-coding RNA, 2819 nt
Filed under: Salvia miltiorrhiza (redroot sage)
Lineage: Eukaryota; Viridiplantae; Streptophyta; Magnoliopsida; Lamiales; Lamiaceae
Description: long non-coding RNA (SMIL_LNC005898)
Source: RNAcentral